AUUUUACUGUGAAUUUAAACUAUACACAACUGCACUAUUUGACCAUGUAGUACAUAAUUAUUUAUAAUCACACUAUCCGGUGUUAACCAAAUGAGGACAGGUUCCCUUUUGAGUCUGGUUUCUCUCGAGGUUUCUUCCUCAUAUCGUCUCAGGGAGUUUUUCCUCACUACCGUCACCACUGACUGCUCAUUACGGAAAGCUUUAGAGGAAAACAUGUCCAGACGAAUUUCUCAUGAAGAGUUCUCAGUCUCGCUUUUCCUUCCGCUGAAGUCAGGAGCUGUGGAGAAGGUGAGUAUCGAGCGGAAAGGGAGAGAGAAAUUCCAGAGCGAGUGGUGACAAAAAAAAUAAUAAAUCGACACCAUCACUCUCGCUAAAAUUUCCCAACUUCGGUUUGGUCAGGAAAGUUUCAGACACCUCUGGUUUCGUCACUGAUAUUCAUGACGUGUGACGUGGAUGCGUUUCCUCACCGUCUGACUUCAGCAGCAACGCGUGAGGAAAGUUUCAGUUACUUAGCCACUGUUUCAGUUCAGACUUUUAGAAAGUUCAUCAUUUCAGCUUUUUUAUGUGGCGUAACACUUUUGGGCUAACUCUCUCUCUCUCUCUCUCUCUCUCUCUCUCUCUCACACACACACACACACACACACAAACAAAAAUGUUGUACAAUGAAUAUUUAUUAAUAGUUUUUUUAUUUUGCAAACAGGUACAGUUUGCUUUUAGUUCACAUUCCAGUAUAAAAAUAAAAACAAUCCAUAAUUUAUUUUUAAGACGAUGUUUUCACAGAAAACUUCAUGUAAUGUUAGCAGAGUAGCACGACGGCUAGAUAAAGAAAACGCACAAAUUCACACAGGUUGCCUGGAUAUUGCUGAGACCACGUUACAGUUUAUCGAGCAC
Ictalurus punctatus (channel catfish) is the source of this 891-nucleotide long non-coding RNA. RefSeq lists it as uncharacterized. Lineage: Eukaryota; Metazoa; Chordata; Actinopteri; Siluriformes; Ictaluridae. The record is from RefSeq and is a predicted model, not a curated record. The transcript has 2 exons.